Non-coding RNA from Vicia faba (fava bean), 357 nucleotides. The record is from the annotation of a GenBank genome assembly. Lineage: Eukaryota; Viridiplantae; Streptophyta; Magnoliopsida; Fabales; Fabaceae.
AAAUAUAGGAAAAUUGAAAAAGGGGUUAGGGUUAAAAGAGAGAGUUGUUCUCUUCUUCUUCGCAGAACAACACGAACGGCGCCGACAGACACAGCCUUCUCCGCUUCUUCAGACAACUCGGCGGCGCGGCGGACUCCGCUUCCACGUCUCCGAUCUCCAGCGGCCAUGGUUUCAUUCUCGCAUCCUUCUCCUAGGCCGACGUUCUUCUACUUCGCGUCGCGGUCCUCUUUCCUCUUCUCCUCUCGUGAUUGCAGUGGACGGCUUUUCUUUCACCUUAACACCGCCACGACCUUAAAACCUUCCGCCUCCGCUCACAUUCACAUGCGUUCUACUCAUGGCAACGUUUCUGUGAGAUGA